RNAcentral lists this unclassified non-coding RNA (321 nucleotides) under Bombus terrestris (buff-tailed bumblebee). Its description in RNAcentral is "misc RNA ENSBTSG00005032973.1". The record is from RNAcentral. Lineage: Eukaryota; Metazoa; Arthropoda; Insecta; Hymenoptera; Apidae.
GUCAUCUUUUUCUCUGUAAACGUUUGUUGAAAUCGAUGUUUUAAUGUAUCCGUCGAACUUUUAUUAAUUACGAUUAUUUUAUUGCGAUUAUUUAACGAGAGGCAGAUGCUUCUUUGAAUAAAGGAUAUAUGUAAUUUGCGGUAUGGAAGAAAUCAUUUUAUGACGAGGUCAUUGAUAUUGAUGUAUAUUAUGAUGUACCAUGAUAGCAUUCGUAAGAACGAAAGUCGUUUGCCUUGGACACUAAAUUUGAACGAUACACAUGUUAGGAAAGCGAUUACGACUUGUAGAAGUUACUCGAGUUGAUUUAUGUAACAAAUCGAA